GAUGAACGCUGGCGGCGUGCCUAAUACAUGCAAGUCGAGCGAACAGACGAGGAGCUUGCUCCUCUGACGUUAGCGGCGGACGGGUGAGUAACACGUGGAUAACCUACCUAUAAGACUGGGAUAACUUCGGGAAACCGGAGCUAAUACCGGAUAAUAUAUUGAACCGCAUGGUUCAAUAGUGAAAGACGGUUUUGCUGUCACUUAUAGAUGGAUCCGCGCCGCAUUAGCUAGUUGGUAAGGUAACGGCUUACCAAGGCAACGAUGCGUAGCCGACCUGAGAGGGUGAUCGGCCACACUGGAACUGAGACACGGUCCAGACUCCUAUGGGAGGCAGCAGUAGGGAAUCUUCCGCAAUGGGCGAAAGCUUGACGGAGCAACGCCGCGUGAGUGAUGAAGGUCUUCGGAUCGUAAAACUCUGUCAUUAGGGAAGAACAAAUGUGUAAGUAACUAUGCACGUCUUGACGGUACCUAAUCAGAAAGCCACGGCUAACUACGUG
RNAcentral lists this ribosomal RNA (497 nucleotides) under uncultured bacterium. Its description in RNAcentral is "partial 16S ribosomal RNA". It matches the Rfam family "Bacterial small subunit ribosomal RNA", at positions 28 to 507 of the family's 1533-position model. The record is from RNAcentral.